Long non-coding RNA from Nannospalax galili (Upper Galilee mountains blind mole rat), 791 nucleotides. RefSeq lists it as uncharacterized. The record is from RefSeq and is a predicted model, not a curated record. NCBI's taxonomy places the organism in Eukaryota, Metazoa, Chordata, Mammalia, Rodentia, Spalacidae. The transcript has 3 exons.
CUUGGAGAAUUUUUUUUUUAAAUGCUGAUGCCCUGGUCACCUCUGAGACCAAAGUAAGUCCCUGUUGUAUGUUAUGAUUUCUCAUAGUUCCUCCAAGUGACUGUAACAGUAGGCCUGAAAGCCUCCGCUGUGACAGGAACUGCUAGUUGCCUGUCCACACAGGUCUUUCUGAGGGCAUCUGACCCUCCUCUGGAAACCCCACUCAGCGAAGCUCAUGGGAGAUUGGCUUCCACCAGCCCUAUUGAAAGUCUGCCUGAAGUCAAGGCAGCACAGAUGAAAAGAGAAUCAAAGAUGGAGUGGAAGACUGAAAGGUCAUUAAAAGCCUGUGGGAAGCCAGAUACCUGCCCCAACAGAAACAAAGGAGUUUGACUUUUCACUGGGGCCAUUUGAGCUGUUGUCUGUGAUGAACUCAUAGCAGAGGUUAUUCAUCACAUAACUAUGUUACUUUGAAAUGCAGAAAAUGAGUUCCAACUUAACAGACCAUCAAAUGAGUGGUUUGGAUGAUCAAGGUCAAAAUGCAGCAACAAGGGAAGAUGCUUCUACUUUCAGGGAUGUGACUGUCAGAGAAGAGGGUAAGAAAGAUGAAACAAAUGUGCUCUUGGCUGUUUUCUUCAGUGAGCAUUGAGUCAUGAUAGCUGGUACAUGUGCAUCAAAUGGUAAAGCUUCAAUAACACACACUAAGCUGCCGCUAACCAAGACUCCGACCAGCAGAGCCGAGGAAAGGACAACACUGACGCCAAGAAGACCAGAGUUCAGUUUCCAGCACCCAUGUCGAGCAGCUCACAACCUCC